AUUUUGCACUUGUGUUUGAAUUUUGAUUUUUACCUUUCUGAUUCAGAAAAGCUCUGAUCAGUAUUUUCAGAUUUAAGGAAUUGUUUGAUACGCCUUUUCACAAUAUACAUAAGUUUUCAAUUUUGUCAACUUGGACCCAUGGUACUGUAAUCCACAUUCCCACUAUGGAUGGACUAUGCCCCAAACAUUUCCUAGAGUGGAAGUCCCGAAAGACUAAUUUUGGGACAUUUUUCAGUUGAAUGUGGACCAUCUUUGUAUUCCUUUUUUGAAUUAUCUAUAAAUCCAUGAAUUUAUGGUAAUGUGGAUUUACGGAAUUCAUGAAUUUAACAAUUCCCUGCCUCAAAUGCCUUCUCAAACAGUCCCUAAAUUCAUAUUUCACAUUAUAUUUUCAUUUUUUUUUUUUUACUUCUUUCCUCAAUUUUGUGAUGGGGGAGGUUUUUGGGUAAAAACUUCCUUGACACAGUGGAGCAAACUUCCAAUGUUUGUAUAUUCCUUUUUAAACAUUACAGAAAAAUGCAUGGGUGGAUGUAAGUCUGGUGAAUGAUGUUUAGUCUAUUUCAUCCUCUACAGUGGGGCCCAUUGCAUCAAUAAUCUUGAUUGCUAUAACUGGGCCCACCAUAUGGGAUGCUGAAACAAGUGAAAAUGUUGACUGAUGUAUUGUUGAGAAGAGAAGAAAUGGAUGGAUAAAUUGGGUCUUUUAGAAAAUUUCUUCUGUUCAUUUUCCAUUUUAUUUUAUUUUAUUUUGUAUGUAAUCUAUUUUAUUCAUUCUGGUUUAUUUGUAAACUCCUUUUUACUACCCUGCCAAGAAAGGAUAAUUGAAAUCCUGCAUUUUCCCCAGAGUUUUAUCACUGAUCUGGGUUUUGUCAUUUUUGAAGGUCAAGAUAAGAUUGCUGAUUUUGAGAUGAAGCUCAUGGACAUUGACAACGAGCAUCUUGGAAUUCCAGAAGCAGAGUAUCAUGCCAUUGUAAAGAUGCCAUCAGGAAUGAAUUGGAAAUAUCUCCGUCGACGUUGUACGAUUUAGCAUGUGUACUAGAGAAUGCUCCUUUCAUCAACAGAAGCCCACAAAACACCUUUGAUUGCUCUUGAACUAACAGUGGCACAACUUAUGGUGUGAAUCCAAUGGGUAUUAAAAUGGAAAAAAUGGCAAUGUUCUGAAUGCAACAGACUAAUGCCCAUUAUCCAAAGCUUAAGAUUGUUGGCCUCAUGAUUUCGAACAAUUCAAUUUUGGUUACUUGUAUGUCA
Molecule: RNA transcript, 1242 nt
Organism: Magnolia sinica
Lineage: Eukaryota; Viridiplantae; Streptophyta; Magnoliopsida; Magnoliales; Magnoliaceae
Gene name: proliferating cell nuclear antigen-like
Exons: 2
Source: RefSeq, a predicted model, not a curated record